Molecule: long non-coding RNA, 521 nt
Filed under: Neogale vison (American mink)
Lineage: Eukaryota; Metazoa; Chordata; Mammalia; Carnivora; Mustelidae
Description: Neovison vison (American mink) lncRNA (ENSNVIG00000009034.1)
Source: RNAcentral
CCGGCGCCCGCCGAGGGCGAUGGGGCUGGGCUGAGGCGAGGCGACGGCGGCGACAGCAGCGGGCCCGGGCCCCGGCCCCCCGCGGUCCCUCAGCUGCUCGGGCCCAGAGGCCGCCGAGGAGACGGUGCAGCGGCGGCGGAUCUGACAGAAUCAUCCUUGGAUCUUGGUGUCUGGACAUAGGAGAAAAGGAAAUGUGUGGAGAAUAAGUGAUAGCGUGCCAGUAAAGGACCUGGGGUAAGACCGUGUUUGUCGGUAGGUUAUUCUUUCCACUCUUGGCUUGGUUUUGUACUCUGGUAAUGGCUUAUCUCACUACUCAACUGUUGUUUUGUUUUGUUUUCCCCUACUGAGAACCAGUGUUAAGGAUUGCUUUUGAUUACGUGGCAGCUUUUUUUUUUUUUUUAAGAUUUUAUUUAUUAGAGAGCACGAACAGGGGGAGGGACAGAGGGAGAGGGAGAAGCCGCAGGGAUCCUGAUUUGGAGCUCUGUGCCAGGACCCAAAAUCAUGACAUGAGCUGAAGGUAG